This is an RNA transcript of Arabidopsis thaliana (thale cress), 553 nucleotides long. RefSeq lists it as uncharacterized. The transcript has a single exon. The record is from RefSeq. Lineage: Eukaryota; Viridiplantae; Streptophyta; Magnoliopsida; Brassicales; Brassicaceae.
GCGUUACUUAUGAGAUUUUAUUUUAUUCGUAUGCAAACAUUGAUUUUAUUUAAUCAAACCUUUUUUUCUUUCCACGGUCUUUAUUUAUAAUGACAAACACAUUGUACAAGUCGGAACAAACGCUUCUAACUAAUAAGACAGUACAUAUAAAGCCCAAAUAAAAGCCCAGUUACAGCUCAAGAACGUGUCAAACCAUUUGGGAUAAGCUAGGACACGUGUUGCUUCCAUAACCUUCACCGCAUGCAAGAGAUUUUAAAUCCGGUGUAUCGGAAUCAUCGCCGGAACAACUACUAACAAUGAAUCUUCUUUUUCCUCACCGAUGAUGACAAUAACGAGUUACAAGACCAAUCAAUCUUAUUUAAUCAAACCUAUCUUUAUAUAUAUGCAAUAAACAACCUAUGUAUAUUUUUUCUGCAUCAUUUUAAUUUUGGGAGAUUUUGAUAAUCCAGGUAGAGCAAAGCGGAUUAUGGAUUAUCACGUGAUAUCCGUGCGUAAUCAUCCCUACCUCUGCUAUGCUUUUGUAAAUAUUUUAAUAUUGAAAAUUAAUGUUGCG